This is a long non-coding RNA of Ornithodoros turicata, 412 nucleotides long. RefSeq lists it as uncharacterized. The record is from RefSeq and is a predicted model, not a curated record. NCBI's taxonomy places the organism in Eukaryota, Metazoa, Arthropoda, Arachnida, Ixodida, Argasidae. The transcript is spliced from 6 exons.
GUACGACCUUGGAGUUUCUAGAAUCUUCAUCUUGUUUUUCACUUGAGAAGCUUUCGCUUCAGUUGGUGUCUUUGUGAUUCAUUUGUUUCUUCAAGCAAUCUCAAUUCAUUCAUUCUCGAUCAAACAGUGCUGGUCCUGAGGUUUCUUCAACACUGAGUUGGAUUCUGGAAUAUUUCUCUUGAAAUUUUACUUGAACUGUGUCAUCAGAUGACAACCAUGUCCGCUUCUACCGCGGCACUGCAAACGCCAGGUGCUCAGGUGUCGGCAGCUUCCGGCUUGGACUCGCCAAGUGCUCAGACAUCCCAGGCGGCUAUCGGCUCGGCAACGGCAGGUGCUCAGGCGUCAGCUACCGACAUGGAAGUUGCUGCCGCUCGUGCUGAACGUCCUGAGGAAGUAAAUCUCGUCGAUGAAU